This 535-nucleotide long non-coding RNA is filed under the name Lepisosteus oculatus (spotted gar). Its description in RNAcentral is "lncRNA (ENSLOCG00000022727.1)". The record is from RNAcentral. Lineage: Eukaryota; Metazoa; Chordata; Actinopteri; Semionotiformes; Lepisosteidae.
AAAUCAUUAAGGGUCCUUAAUUCUUUCCUUCAAGCUUACUUAAGCAUAUUGGUGUUCCUGGUUCCUUGCAGUUGCUUGGAGGCUUGGAGAAAACUUGUUCAUCAGAAAUCAAUCUCCGUUUAUUACUGGGCUAAACUUCAGAGGCACACGGUGAAGCUGUGUUUCCAGCGCUGGAAGCAAGACGUGGCACUGUUCUGUCUACAGAAGACGUUUGUCAUCCACUUAGUUGAAGAAAGGCAGCGGCAAGCAAAAGAUAAAUGGAAAGGUUCUCUUUCUUUUCCCCUUGAAACAGCAAAACCCCUGAGACCAGAUCAGGGUGCCAGGAUACUCCAGAGUGUUCAUCAGAUAUUUAAUUGGGUUUCAAAUGAAGCAAGUCAAUGCCUUUUCGGCAAUGAUGGAUCGUCACCACAGAGCUGAUGAGCUGUGUGCAGCUUUGGUACUCCAGGGGGCCUUUCAGAAGUGGAAAGAGGAGCAAUACAAACUGCAGAUGGCCAGGUAGUAGGCCUUGGACAACAAAUCUGCAUCUGCGCUAUGC